UCGCAUUUGAACAUUACUUUAUGGAAUUUGCUUUAUAUAAAUAUAUUGUAUUAUUAUUAUUGUAACUCGUGGUUCCUUAUUGAACGGCUAAAAAUUAAUAGGACAGUGAAGCUCGCUACUCGUUAUUUGCAACUCGAAAAAAUCUCAUUCUCAAAGUAUUUAGAAGGCCGUAGUGAGAAAAUAUCAACCAGUGCGAAUGUAGUGGAGCGAGAUUCCUACAAACAAAACCGAUCGCGCGACGAAAGGAAAGCAAACAAACAAGCACCCUAAAACAACAGGAAAACCAAAAUAAAACAACACAGAGGAAAACAUUCUAACGAAGCCCAGUCUUGAUAAUGAAUUACUCUGCUGACCUGCCUUGAGUUUCUAGUUAUGUAAAGCAUAUUUCCUUUUUUUCUCCUAACAGUCAAUAUCAACGACCACCGCAGUACAAAUGAAAAAGAAAACAAGGGUCAUGAAUCUAUAUUACCAGCCUGUCUCGAAUACCAAGGUUAUCAUGAAUAUGGAUUCCAUCUCUUUACUUUGAACAGUUCCGUGUUUAACAGCACUGUUCAAGACAUGAGUAUCGAUUGCGUCCCGGAUGCUAUCGCUUCAAUUCUGUGCGACAAUAAUGAACCAUUUGUUCUUGUGUACAAGAAUAGCAACAACCAAACAACCUACCUGCCAAACCCACCAGCUUGGAGCAAAGAUCUUUUGGACCGGAUGUGUACUCGGUAAGCUAGCUGCUUCAAUAGUUCAAUGACCGUUAAUUCUAAACUGCUGACGAGUAUCCUUCGCAGACUCCCAAGACGGGGAAAGUGGGAGAGGGGCGGGGGGUGGCGGGGGGAGGAAGUGAUUUCUAUUGUUACUGACAAAACAGAAAUAUAUCGGAAACACCGUUUUGCAUAACGCGGAGAACACGGUUUAGCGGGGUAGAGUGAAACACGUGUUCCACGCCUGACGCUUCUCCCAGUCCAUCUCCAGGCUAGUUCCUGUUCUGCAGGCCAAUUUUUCGUUUAUCCCUUUCAAAGUACGAUGCUACUAAAAUUUAAGAUCUCUAAUCACGGUAUUAUUAAUCUGCUUCUGUCUCACAGUUUCGGUGAUCAGCUUCUUCGUGUGGUUUUAUACCAACCAUCGUGGUAUCUGCAGAUUGUGCUUGACGAGCAAGAGGAGAACGGCUGUUAUUUUAGUUCGACAGUUACAGAGAAACUGAGAGUCACAAGCGAUUUUAAAGAACUGGCCAGACUGACAGGUUUUCCUGGUGAAAUAAAAAGGAAGUCGCCUUGAAAAAGUUUGCCAAUCGGAGAUAAUUAAUCCAACUAUUUACCACAUAACUUAAAACAAACUACCAGCUUGAAAAAUAACUUGCUCAGGAUGUCAUUCCACCCAUCUUCAGGUUUACAAAAUGAAAUAUAUUUCAUUCUAAAUAGAUUUAGUUUACAGUAGUUUUAAAACUCGCAUAACAAGGCCAGCACCCUCAGUCGUUUCUAAAAUAUUUACACCGGCGUGAAUUGCAUAUUAGGUAUGCGUAAUAUUUAGUCGUUUAUUGUCACCUUAUUACUUUUCUUGUACUUUGCAAUCCCUUUUGCUAUUUAACUUAUUUUUCCUUGAGACGAUAACAGAGAAUGAAGUCGAUUUCAAAUGAUUUGCGCAUGUCUAAUAUUCAGCCUAGUCCCUACUCUUUCUCAGCUCAAGGGAGUCUGGGCUCUUCCAUGCACUUCGUUCCAGGCUUGAAGCGGUCAUCGCGGCAAGAAAGAACGCCUAGGGACUAGUCUGAUUCCGAUUAAAUGUGCAAGUAACACACCAGAAAUAAUUAAGAGGCUCAUCAGACAAGAAACAGACGCGAGAUUGAGGUGACGGUCAAAAAAUGGUCUGUUGGGCAAGAAAAGCGGCUAAGAAAUAGCUUUUUUCUUGAGCCCGUCAAUCAUGUUUCUUUCUUUGUCUUGCCCUCCUUACUGGACUUUGAUUUUACGUAAAGUUGCAGAAUGAUUUGUUGUGCUUUGAAUUUAUGGAAAGGCUUAGAAAUCAGCCUUGUUGACUACGAACCAAAGAAACAAAUCAUAAAUAAAAAAA
Molecule: long non-coding RNA, 2052 nt
Organism: Orbicella faveolata
Lineage: Eukaryota; Metazoa; Cnidaria; Anthozoa; Scleractinia; Merulinidae
Source: RefSeq, a predicted model, not a curated record